This is a long non-coding RNA of Macaca fascicularis (crab-eating macaque), 1665 nucleotides long. NCBI's taxonomy places the organism in Eukaryota, Metazoa, Chordata, Mammalia, Primates, Cercopithecidae. The record is from Ensembl.
GUCAGGGUGCCUAUUAGAAUGGAAGGCCCUUGAAAAAUCCCCAAGCAGGCAAAAGAACAUUGUAAGCAAAGCAACCCCACACUCCAUCUCUUCCUCCUCUCCAGAGAAAACUUCAGGGAAACAAGACGCUGCAGCUAGCACAGUGCCUGGCCUAGUAAAUGUUUGUUGAAUGAAUUAAUUAAUGAAUGCCUAAACAAACACCCUCAUGCCAAGACUUUCUGGGCACACACGGUCAUUUCCCAUCAGAGUCAGUUCCCAGCUGCCGACCAGUCAGAGCCACGGAUGUCCUGCAAGUCACUUGCUUUGCAACUAUCUCCAAAAUAGGUGACCCUGACCGUCAUCUUCUGGGGGCUUCUGUAAACUAGAUUUCUCUUAGAAAUCAAUCAAGGCUUCUCACCUUUCCGAACCCUAUUUCCCCUGAAUGACAGACAGCUACAAGGAAUUAGUCUGGGGCAGAAUGCAUCAGUGCCCCAAAAAGGGGCAGGUGAUUUGACUCAGCUACCUGCUUUGGCUACCACCUAAUGGAGAGCCCAUUGGCUCCUCGGAGACUCAGAUGCCACAGUGGUAAAACAGGAAUCAUAACGCCCACAUCCCACAACCACUGUGGGAAAGAGCAUCAGACUUCCCCUCUGGUAUCACGGCAGCCUGAGCUGAUGGGUCCACCUUCCCUCUUCUGUUAUAAACACAUCAAAUCUUGAAUGACUAUGACCCAAAUGGGACCAUACAUAGCCAAAUGGAAGAAAUAAAGGCCACAGCUCCCAGUACACACAUCUGUGUACAUUUGCAUACACACAUAUGGACACGCAGAAGUGCAACCCACAUACAACUGCACACACACACAAAUACAACCCAUGCACAACUGCACACAAACACAGAGAAGUGCAAUCCACGUACUACUGCACAUAAACACACAGAAAACAACCCACGUGCAACUGCACACAUACAAACACACAGAUAUAUAACCCACGUCCAACUGCAUGCACACAUACACACAUGCAGAAAUGCAACGGAAUGUGUGCAGCAGCAGCAGGGCUGUUCCCUGUGGGCCCAUGGAAAGGAUGCUGGGCGGUUCCCAGAUGCCCUUCCAGGGUCCCUUCCAAAGAACUUCAUGUGCUGGGUUGGGACAUUCCAUUGUCAGCCCGUUUCCUCUGUGGAAGCAGUUUUCUUGGCUCGCUCUGGCACAAGUGAUACAGGCGGAAAGAGCAGUCCCUUCUCACAGUCCAGAGCUUGUUGUGAAAAGGAGUCAGGCGGCCGGGCGCGGUGGCUCAAGCCUGUAAUCUCAGCACUUUGGGAGGCCGAGACGGGCGGAUCACUAGGUCAGGAGAUCAAGACCAUCCUGGCUAACCCGGUGAAACCCCGUCUCUACUAAAAAAUACAAAAAACUAGCCAGGCGACGUGGCAGGCGCCUGUAGUCCCAGCUACUCGGGAGGCUGAGGCAGGAGAAUGGCGUGAACCCGGGAGGCGGAGCUUGCAGUGAGCUGAGAUCCGGCCACUGCACUCCAGCCUGGGCGACAAAGCGAGACUCCGUCUCAAAAAAAAAAAAAAAAGAAAGAAAAGAAAAGGAGUCAGGCCGGAGGGUCCAAGUUUGCAGAACCCAAACCUAGACAUGUUUCAUGAGACAGAAAACCCCACAAGUCCUGGCUUCAGGGAAAAAAAAAAAAAAAA